This 351-nucleotide ribosomal RNA is filed under the name uncultured bacterium. RNAcentral's name for it is "bacterial SSU rRNA". It matches the Rfam family "Bacterial small subunit ribosomal RNA", at positions 445 to 793 of the family's 1533-position model. The record is from RNAcentral.
UGGGUAUGUUAAUAGCAUACUCAUUUGACGUUUAGCUGCAGAAGAAGCACCGGCUAACUCCGUGCCAGCAGCCGCGGUAAUACGGAGGGUGCGAGCGUUAAUCGGAAUUACUGGGCGUAAAGCGCAUGCAGGUGGUUUGUUAAGUCAGAUGUGAAAGCCCGGGGCUCAACCUCGGAAUUGCAUUUGAAACUGGCAAACUAGAGUACUGUAGAGGGGGUAGAAUUUCAGGUGUAGCGGUGAAAUGCGUAGAGAUCUGAAGGAAUACCGGUGGCGAAGGCGGCCCCCUGGACAGAUACUGACACUCAGAUGCGAAAGACGUGGGGACGCAAACAGGAUUAGACUACCUGGUAG